Molecule: ribosomal RNA, 504 nt
Filed under: uncultured bacterium
Lineage: Bacteria
Description: partial 16S ribosomal RNA
Rfam family: Bacterial small subunit ribosomal RNA
Source: RNAcentral
AUUGAACGCUGGCGGCAUGCCUUACACAUGCAAGUCGAACGGCAGCAUGGAGAGCUUGCUCUCUGAUGGCGAGUGGCGAACGGGUGAGUAAUGCAUCGGAACGUACCGUGUAAUGGGGGAUAACGUAGCGAAAGUUACGCUAAUACCGCAUACGACCUGAGGGUGAAAGCAGGGGAUCGCAAGACCUUGCGUUAUACGAGCGGCCGAUGUCAGAUUAGCUAGUUGGUGAGGUAAAGGCUCACCAAGGCGACGAUCUGUAGCGGGUCUGCGAGGAUGAUCCGCCGCACUGGGACUGAGACACGUCCCAGACUCCUACGGGAGGCAGCAGUGGGGAAUUUUGGACAAUGGGGGCAACCCUGAUCCAGCCAUGCCGCGUGAGUGAAGAAGGCCUUCGGGUUGUAAAGCUCUUUCGGCCGGGAAGAAAUCGCACAGGCUAAUACUCUGUGUGGAUGACGGUACCGGCAUAAGAAGCACCGGCUAACUACGUGCCAGCCGCCGCAGUAA